RNAcentral lists this long non-coding RNA (602 nucleotides) under Vulpes vulpes (red fox). Its description in RNAcentral is "lncRNA (ENSVVUG00000018076.1)". Lineage: Eukaryota; Metazoa; Chordata; Mammalia; Carnivora; Canidae. The record is from RNAcentral.
UUUCUUUCUUUCUUUUUUUUAACAGCUUGAGUUCCACUUCUUACAUAUGUAGACCUGUGGCAAACAAUUUUCCCUUGUACUCUUGCCAGUAUUAAGGGUAUUCCUGGAGAAACCCAUUCCUGCCAUCCUCGUUUUGGAGACAGAGUUGGAACCGUCAGCCUUUGGGAUCCUGAUGUACUUAGUAGAGUUCCUGGCUGCAGGGGCUUAGCUGCCAGCAAAAUGUCAGAAAAGGGAGGAGAAGUUGCUCUGAGGGAAGCAGACUUUCUCCAGGAAGUAAAGAUUAGAGAAUUUGGAAAAAAAAACAAAUAAAAAACCCAAAACAACAACAACAACAACAACAACAACAACAACAACAACAACAAAAAGAAUAAGAGAGAAUAUGAGAGAGAGCAGCAGGGAUGGGCAGAGAGAAAAAGAAUCGUAAAUAGUAUCCACACCCAGCAGAGAGCAUCAUAUGGGGCUCAGUCUCAUGACCCUAAGAUCAUGACAUGAGCCAAAAUCAAGAAUUGUACAGUUAACCAACUGAACCAUCCAGGUGCCCCUUUUAAUUUCUGUAACACCUUUGUAAAUACUCUCAUUAAACUCUCUCUACUGAGUGUGCC